UCGAAUCCCGACGAUCUCAGAGAUCCGAGGAGGUGAAAAAUUCGAAAAACCUCAAAUGGCGGCGACUCUGCCGUCAUCAAACCCUAAUGGCGAACCAACCGACACCAAAUCCCUCAUCGUCUCCUUCUCGAAUCGAAUCUGGAGAUCUCUCCUCAAAGCUCUCCCCUCUGCAGAUUCCAGCCUCCUCGCGAAAAUCUCGAAUCUCUACUCGAAGUUUCUGCCGUCGCGAUCGAGGCGACGAAAGCUAGGGCUCCCUCUUCCUCUUGGUUCGAGCUCAAUUCAGUCUUCUCUGAUUGCCAGAGACACGUCAAGAGUACUUGCUAUAUUAGAAGAUAUCUUGGGACAUACUCUGUCAAGCUUGCAUAAUAUACAAAAGAGCUUGUUAUUUUGGCAGUCUCUAGCUGAGGGAACAAGUAGUCGGAAAAUAUCGUUUAUGAUUUUCCAGAGGGGUCCACGGGCUUUUGUUGAUGGAACAUAUCAGAUUGUAACUAGAUUUGGUACUCAGGGGUCUCCAUUUGGGCAUAUGUCUCGUUCUGCUGCUGGUACAAUAUCUGCAAAUAUAGCUGUUUUGAAAAGUUUCCAGUGUUGCUUGGCAACAUUCCUUGCUCAGAUUUAUUUGGAGGUGAACAAAUUUGGGCAAAUGCUAACAGAGGACUCUGACAACUUCUUGCCCCAAUUAUUAAAAGCAAUCAAUAGCAUCUUUUCAGAACUUGAAGCUUCCAUUAGCCAUCCAUCUGAAAUCUACAAGAGCAAUUGUUCAUUUUCCAUGGAAGGGGAAGGCUCACGUGCACUUAUCUUUGAGAAGUUAUGUGAGAUAGACAAGGAACAAUCACAAUGGAAAGAUACUGAAAUAGGGGAUGCAGUUAAUGUGAUUCGUCAAAAUCUUCAAAGAUUAGAUUCAUAUCUAUCUUUCUUUCUUUCCAGGUGUCAAAAACCAAGAAAAUCGACAUUGUACUGGUUACAUUAUACUUGUGGAGCAGUUGGCCUUUCAUUGUGUUCAGUUUGGCUAUUGCGCCAUAGUAGUUUAAUGGGAAGUUCUGAUAUUGACAACUGGAUCCAAGAAGCAAAAGAAUCUACAGCUGGAUUUUGGAAAGAGCAUGUUGAACAACCGCUUAUUUCUAUCAGAGACGAUCUAUUUGAGACAUUCAGAGGAAGACAAAAAGGUGUCAUGGAGGCUGAAGAGGUUCACUUGACUUCAAAUUCUCUCCAUAGAAUGUUGUUGGCAUUCGGUGAGCAAACAAAAGGUCAAAAGCUUCCUGAGAGUCUUUCAGAUCAAGAUAUGAUGGAAAUUGUCAUGGACAGAUAUGAGAGGGAACUGAUGCAUCCAAUUCAGAACCUUCUCCAUGGAGAGCUUGCUCGGGCAUUGCUUAUUCAGAUUCAAAAGCUAAAGCUGGACAUUGAAAUGGCAAUGCUUGAACUGGAUCAAAUUCUCAAGGCAAAUGAAAUCAACUUCGCCAUUCUUGCUGCCUUACCAGCCUUUUUCCUUUCCAUACUUCUGCUCAUGUUGGUACAGGCAUGGGCUCUGAAGGACAAAGGUGCAGAAGGUAGGGGAAGGGCUGCUCGCAUUCAGAGGAGGCUUCUCAUUGUUGAAGUUGAGAAACGGGUAAUGCAAUUCCAUGCUAGUACGGAUCAAGGAAAGGAGGAAGACGCUCAGUGCAUGUUUGGAUUGGUGCUAUAUAGCCUUGAUCGCCUUUACAAGGCAGUGGAAAGGCACGCGAAGGAAACUGGAGAGUGGCUAAGCUUGAGACAAGAUAUAGCCAACCUUGGUAGGCCAGAACUGAGUAAAGAGGACAAGCUUGCUAUUAUUUCGCGCAUGGAAAGAAUGUAUUAUUGCCUGCUGUCUUCAGCUCCUUCAUCAAGAUGGUAUUGAUUGUCUCACUUGAAAGAUCAACAUUCUGCGCCUAUUUGCUUGUGCAGAAAUUUUGACCCCUGUGGAUCUUUCAGUAUGUAAAAUACAGGUGAGACGAGCUACAAUGUUGGCUAUGUUCAAACGCUGUAUAAAAGAAAUUUUGUUUUGGAAUGUGUUGACGUAUUAAAGUGUACAGAGUCUUGAAGGAUUAGCUGUUUUGCUCUAAAGGAGAAUGUUGGGAGAUUACUCGGAUUCCCCUAUUACCAGAUUUAAGAGAAAGCGAAAUAAAUGCGCAAAAAAAGGGGGACACAAGAUUUACGUGGUUCAGCACAAAAUUGCCUACGUCCACGGGCUGCUGCAGAUCUUUCACUAUUGGAAGAAAUUUUACAAACUACUCUCAAAGAUUUUUCACACUCAAACUCACAACCCAAUCUCACUCUGAAAAUUGCUCACAAUUUUCUCUCACAAGGAUCUUUUUCUAAGCUUUUCUUUUCUCUCUCUUACUCUUCUAUAAGAGGAGUUGUUUUUGGGAUGAGUUUUUCUUAAGAGUUUGGGAGCCUAUUUAUAGUGUUUGGAAAAAUAUUAUGCACCAAUAAAAAAUAUUAUUUUCUGUGGUGGGGCUAGCGGUGGGGCCCGCUCAUCUUCUUUGUCAACAAAACAGCCUCCCAUUUCUUUGCCUGUUUCUUUGCUCCACCGAAAGUUCCUCCACCUUUUCUUUUUGUCAAUUUUAGCUGUCACAUUUCGGUGGCUGAAAUAUUUGACCAACAAUCUCCCACUUGAAGACUGAUUUUAAUCUAUCUUCACAUCUCAAUCUAUGCAGCAGCUCUUCCCUGGUCUUGAUAUUAUUGCAGGCCAACUGAAGCUGAACACAGCUUUAGUUUGUCAGUAGUCACCGUCUUUGUCAGCAUGUCUGUCGGAUUUUGAGCUCCACUGAUCUUUUCAAGCUUUAAAAUUCCAUCUUUCAGAA
Molecule: RNA transcript, 2816 nt
Organism: Asparagus officinalis (garden asparagus)
Lineage: Eukaryota; Viridiplantae; Streptophyta; Magnoliopsida; Asparagales; Asparagaceae
Gene name: protein DGS1, mitochondrial-like
Exons: 15
Source: RefSeq, a predicted model, not a curated record